ACUUGCCGGACAGAACUUUCAGUUGUGCAACGGGAAAGCGGGACCAGGGCGUGGCCGGGCCACGCCUCGACCCUUCUCCUUAAAAAAUCUCCAGAAUUAAACACCUUUUCUGCCGUCUGCCUGCUUUAGUUUGGAGGAGAAUUUACCAACCCAAAUCUGGCCCAAGCCUGGACCGUCUAGAUAAGGAAGAGGAUCACAGAAACAAAUUGCUGCAUUCUUGAUGGAGAGACCAGCAAGUAACAGUUUGACUGCAGUGUGUCAGGCUCCACGGAGGUACUGGGGAUCUCACAAUUUAGGAGGAAAGACCCACAAAUUCCCCAUCACAUGACCAUGGGAUAAGGGAUGAAGUUCAGAUCCCUUACUACGUCCUCCCAGGACCUGCAGGAUUUGUCCCGGGCAGCCCCAGCUGCAGCCUUAUGCCUUCGUGUGCUUGUGCUCUGGCCCUGCCCUCCUUCUUUCCGAUCCUGGAAUGUUCUGGGCUCUUCCCCUUUCUGCCUUUGCUCAUCCCACCCCCUGGAAUUCCCCUCCCUUUCCUUUCCCAAAGUGCUAACUUUCCGCAGCAUUGCAUUUUAUUGCAAUUGUCUAUUGUCCAUAUAAAGUCCAAGAUACUCAUGGCCUAAUCCUAAAUGCAGUUUAUAUUUAAAGAAACAUGAGUCUGGCAUCCCAAAAGUAACUAAAAACAUUUCGAUCUUUAGGGCAGUCCUCUUACUGCAACUGAAAAUGCAAAUGCCGGAGUGGGUACACAAUGAGAACGCUCAGCAAAACACUUAAAAGUCCUUUCUCUUUUUAUCUUACUUCCAUUAUCUCCCCCAUGCUCUAAAAGUUCUUCUAUAAACUCUCUGAAAAACAAUCAGAAGAUGUUAUCCUGUCUUAUUUCUUUUUCUCAUCUCCUUCUGCAAUUAUGUCAUUCUUCCUGGAGGGUCCUGAGGGGAAAUCGUUGUGCAUACUAACGCAUUCUUUGGUCCCUGUCAUACUGUUGAUCUGCACCCACUGCUAGACUCUGAUGAAAAGCGUCAUUUGGUCUUAUUCACAGAACUUGAGGCUGUGCAUGGCAUACAAUAUGUCCUCAAUAAACAUUUAUGGGUGCAUAAGAACAAUUUGUUGGUUUCUUUCUAGGCUAAACGUCCUUCUUCAAAAGAUGAAAGACAUAGGCAGGGGAAUUUAGAAGGACACUUGUAAUUGAAAUGGUCUCUGGUCAUGUAGGAUUAGGUCAGGAGAACUAUCUAAACACGCCAGGGUACUAAUUCUACUGAAUGGCUCUCACAGCUGAUAGUGACAGUAAAUAAAUAAAAACAUAUAGUCGGGGCACCUGGGUGGCCCAGUGGGUUAAAGCCUCUGCCUUCGG
Lutra lutra (Eurasian river otter) is the source of this 1345-nucleotide long non-coding RNA. RefSeq lists it as uncharacterized. Lineage: Eukaryota; Metazoa; Chordata; Mammalia; Carnivora; Mustelidae. The record is from RefSeq and is a predicted model, not a curated record. The transcript is spliced from 4 exons.